Ictidomys tridecemlineatus (thirteen-lined ground squirrel) is the source of this 486-nucleotide non-coding RNA. Lineage: Eukaryota; Metazoa; Chordata; Mammalia; Rodentia; Sciuridae. The record is from RefSeq and is a predicted model, not a curated record.
GACACACAAUGGGUCUGUCUGAAGUCGGCUCAUCUUCAAAGGAGAGUCAGCCUAUGGAGGAAUAUCACUUCUCAUCUGGGCAAAUCUGACAGGAUGACGACUGCCGAUGACGUCUAGCAUGCUGUGUGGCACACCUGGGCUGGGAGCUGCACCAGGAGAGGAUUCCAGGGUCGUCUGGAGAUGGCUAUGGCACAUCCCAAGUGGACACUGCAUAGAGGAAUCAGGAGGCAUAACUCAGCUUUGCUCCUGCCAGUGACACAGUCACCUAGUGGAAAAGAAAAGCCCUUCACCACCGAAUCUAUAAUUGCACCGGAAACUGCCCAGCCCUUGGUGGAACAAUGAGGGAAAUUUGGUUACGGGUCUACCGGCCUGGGGCGAGCAGAAACAAAGAUGAGGUUGGAAAUAUUCUUAACAUGUGUGUUUUCUUGGGUCAUUAAAAGAGAAAAACAAGUUCCAACACUGUUUGAAGGAAACCAUCAUCCAAUU